RNAcentral lists this long non-coding RNA (309 nucleotides) under Elaeis guineensis (African oil palm). Its description in RNAcentral is "long non-coding RNA (EGUI_LNC023776)". The record is from RNAcentral. Lineage: Eukaryota; Viridiplantae; Streptophyta; Magnoliopsida; Arecales; Arecaceae.
UGUGUAUAUUAAAAUUAAUUUUGAUGGCUUACUUGAUUCCAAUAAGGCUUCUGCUGCUUAUGUGCUUAAGGAUCAUUCAGCUCAAUUUUUACAAAUAGAGAGAAAAAAUUAUAUAAUGUCACCAUUUUUUUUGUUGAAAUGAUUGCUAUCUGGCUAGGUAUGUGUGCUGCUAUAACUAAAUUUUAUGCUACUUAUAUUAUAUUGGAAGGAGAUUCUGUAACUAUUAUACAUUGGAUUGAGAACUUUCAAAUCCAAAAAUAUAAUGAUUUUCAUUUUCUGAAGCACAUUUGGAAUUAGAAGGUAAUAAUG